AACAACUCGAGGGCGGAGGCCAGGGAACUGCCGCCCGGCUUUACGUAACUUGACCCACAGGCGGGCGGCGGCAGGUGGCUGCACCCGGCGAGCAAGGUGCUCGAAGCCCCGAGAACGCAGGACGCCGCUCGGGCAGCGAGACGGCCGGGAAGCACGAGAGGCCGGGGAGCGGCGGCGGCGGCCUCCUUACCUUUCCAGAUGCCCAGAGAGAGCUGGGACGUGUCCAAGUCCACCACAUAGUCCCCCAAGAACCGGUUCAACACGUCCACGACCACCGACUCGAAAACCAUGUUCCUCAGCCGUGGUGGGCACGGCAGCCGGCCCGUGCGCUCCUCCUCCCGCCGCCUUCCCCACGCCCCUCCCUCGAGAGUAACACGCUUCCCUGCAGAUAAGAGUUGGAGUCAGCCGGUCUGGAAACUGCUGAACACCCUCCAAGAAAUACUGGGAGUGCUGGACCCUUGACCCCUAUGCCUCCACCGAACCACUGACCUAAAAUAAAUUACAAUUACAGAUCU
This 515-nucleotide long non-coding RNA is filed under the name Homo sapiens (human). Its description in RNAcentral is "non-protein coding VPS13A-AS1:5". Lineage: Eukaryota; Metazoa; Chordata; Mammalia; Primates; Hominidae. The record is from RNAcentral.